Molecule: ribosomal RNA, 262 nt
Filed under: uncultured bacterium
Lineage: Bacteria
Description: partial 16S ribosomal RNA
Rfam family: Bacterial small subunit ribosomal RNA
Source: RNAcentral
UGGCAGGUACAGAGGGAGUGCUACCGGGCGACCGGAUGCGGAUCUCGAAAGCCUGUCCCAGUUCGGACUGGAGUCUGCAACCCGACUCCACGAAGUUGGAUUCGCUAGUAAUCGCGCAUCAGCCAUGGCGCGGUGAAUACGUUCCCGGGCCUUGUACACACCGCCCGUCAAGCCAUGGGAGCCGGGGGCGCCUGAAGUCCGGGACCGCGAGGACCGGCCUAGGGCGAAACUGGUAACUGGGGCUAAGUCGUAACAAGGUAAC